Molecule: long non-coding RNA, 1593 nt
Filed under: Danio rerio (zebrafish)
Lineage: Eukaryota; Metazoa; Chordata; Actinopteri; Cypriniformes; Danionidae
Description: si:dkey-183c6.5 (ENSDARG00000098710.2)
Source: RNAcentral
UGAUCUCAGAACUAAUUUUAGGACCGUUAUUGCUCACUGAGCAAAGCAACAAACUGUAUUUUUGCUAAUUAAGCUGCCAACACCCAAAGCAUGGGUGCUUCUGCAAAACUCAAAGCAUUACAUGAAACUCUUCAACAUCUUCACUAAAGUGAAGAUUAAACUCUAACAAGUCUUUCUAUUAAGUAAUUACUUUUGUUGUUAUCCCCAACACAAAUGCACAUACACACACAUACCGGAUGAGGCUUCCAGAUCUCUUCAGGUUGCAGACACAUGAAAACAGUGUUGUCCGGCAGAGCUAUGAGGAACUCAUCUGAGUCCACCUCUGUCCCGUCCUCCUCACACACCAGGGUCAGCAUUUUAGAAAUCAGCAGAGCCUGGCCUGCCUGAGGUAAGAGUUACAGUAUUCUGUCAAACAUGCCACACAUUUACAUCAUAAUUAUUGAACUCUUCAUGAUGUUUUUUAGUUAUUCAGGUCAUUGUAGAAUAUCUAGAAAUGUGUAACACUGAUAGAACCACUGCAAAACUUAGCAGGCAAGAUAAACUAAACAAAGCUUGCCUGUUUUGAUUCAUUGUCAUACCCUCUCUUUGAGCUCCUCCAGGGUUCCCGCAGUGAUGCCUUUUUUGACCUCUCUGUUCCAGGAACACACUCUGAAUGGACGCUGCGGAGGCGACCAAACCCGCCGAGACACUGACCUGAGAAAUGGAAGAGGAGACCAAAAUGUCAAAAACAACAACUGCAGGUAAAAAGCUCAAGCUGGUUUGAAAGAAGUCACUGGUGAGUAAAUGAUCAUUUUCACUCUUUAAUAAAAAGGCAUACAAUGUCAUUUUUCCAAUGACUCAGUGUUUUAUUUUUUCAAUAUCGUAAUAUAACUAAAACCAAUGUUGUGUUUUCAUUACUUUUACAAACAAAUAGAAAGUAGCAUGUUUCAAAUGUCAUUACUUACAAAAAUGGGCCGUCAGUUUAAGUGUAACAUAGUUUAUUUUGUGUAAUGACAAAGUUUUUUGUCAUGGUUACAGAAUGACAUCAAUCAUCACACGAUGAUAUCACAACAUCUUAAGCAACUUCCUCUGAAAAUUAGUAGGCAACAUUAGUUAUCUUCAUUCUCACUUUUUCUUUAAAGUUCAUCAGCCGAAAGAAAAAGUUGGCAAAUAAUAAUUGGUCAUUUUAGGAUGAGCAAAUAAUGAUUAUUUUCAUUUCUGGGCUAAAUUUCUUUUUAUUCAAAGUUCAUCAUCUGAAGAAAUGUUAACAAAUAACGAAUAUUGCUCAUUUCAUGAUGCACAAAUAAUGAUUUUUUUUCCUUGAUUUUGAGAAUGAUCUUAAUUUGCUUUAUAUGACAUUUUCCCUCCAUAAGUACAGUAUGUUCUGUCUGUAUUGGUUAAUAUGAUUGAUAUAUAUUUUGAUGGCUUACCAAAAAUUAAAGUACUUAAAUUUGCUAUUCACUAAAAAUCUUGACAUCCUCUUUAGAUGUUCCCUGGCUUUUAUUUUUUAUUUAUUAGAAAAUUGGAGAUGUCUGAUCCAUGAACGAACUGUUCACUUUAUUUGAUGAUUGAAUUAUCCUGUUUAAAAUAAAACCUUGUCUGAUUAUUUACUGA